GACGAACGCUGGCGGCGUGCUUAGCACAUGCAAGUCGAACGGUAAGGCCCUUCGGGGUACACGAGUGGCGAACGGGUGAGUAACACGUGGGUGAUCUGCCCUGCACUUCGGGAUAAGCCUGGGAAACUGGGUCUAAUACCGAAUACACCCUGCUGGCUGCAUGGCCUGGUGGGGGAAAGCUUUUGCGGUGUGGGAUGGGCCCGCGGCCUAUCAGCUUGUUGGUGGGGUGAUGGCCUACCAAGGCGACGACGGGUAGCCGGCCUGAGAGGGUGACCGGCCACACUGGGACUGAGAUACGGCCCAGACUCCUACGGGAGGCAGCAGUGGGGAAUAUUGCACAAUGGGCGCAAGCCUGAUGCAGCGACGCCGCGUGAGGGAUGACGGCCUUCGGGUUGUAAACCUCUUUCAGCAUCGACGAAGCGAAAGUGACGGUAGGUGCGGAAGAAGGACCGGCCAACUACGUGCCAGCAGCCGCCGCAG
This 480-nucleotide ribosomal RNA is filed under the name uncultured bacterium. RNAcentral describes it as "partial 16S ribosomal RNA". It matches the Rfam family "Bacterial small subunit ribosomal RNA", at positions 28 to 523 of the family's 1533-position model. The record is from RNAcentral.